Molecule: transfer RNA, 92 nt
Filed under: Parcubacteria group bacterium 20-58-5
Lineage: Bacteria
Also listed under: 1 other name
Description: tRNA-Leu
Rfam family: tRNA
About the family: Transfer RNA (tRNA) molecules are approximately 80 nucleotides in length. Their secondary structure includes four short double-helical elements and three loops (D, anti-codon, and T loops).
Source: RNAcentral
GCCAAGGUGGCGGAAUGGUAGACGCACCUCGCUUAAAACGAGGAGAGAGCCUAAAAACCCUCAUGUGAGUUCGAGUCUCACCCUUGGUACAA